UGGGGAAUAUUGCACAAUAGGGGAAACCCUGAUGCAGCCAUGCCGCGUGUGUGAAGAAGGCCUUCGGGUUGUAAAGCACUUUCAGCGAGGAGGAAAGGUUGAUGCCUAAUACGUAUCAACUGUGACGUUACUCGCAGAAGAAGCACCGGCUAACUCCGUGCCAGCAGCCGCGGUAAUACGGAGGGUGCAAGCGUUAAUCGGAAUUACUGGGCGUAAAGCGCACGCAGGCGGUUGGAUAAGUUAGAUGUGAAAGCCCCGGGCUCAACCUGGGAAUUGCAUUUAAAACUGUCCAGCUAGAGUCUUGUAGAGGGGGGUAGAAUUCCAGGUGUAGCGGUGAAAUGCGUAGAGAUCUGGAGGAAUACCGGUGGCGAAGGCGGCCCCCUGGACAAAGACUGACGCUCAGGUGCGAAAGCGUGGGGAGCAAACA
RNAcentral lists this ribosomal RNA (427 nucleotides) under uncultured bacterium. RNAcentral's name for it is "partial 16S ribosomal RNA". It matches the Rfam family "Bacterial small subunit ribosomal RNA", at positions 355 to 774 of the family's 1533-position model. The record is from RNAcentral.